CUUUAAAGACAAUCUCCCGCGUUCAGAGUUGAGCGGAAAUAGCAAGAGUGUUUUUCCUCUAUUUAAGCGCGCCAACAAAGACUGUGUGCAUUGCAUACGCGGCACGGUUGUGUUGCUGUAGUUCCAGCAAGCCUCCGAAAGAUGUCCGAGGAAAUGUCUGGCGCGUCGAGCUCUGGGAGUGGCGUGGAUGAGAAGCCGUGCUCGUCGUCAGCACCUGCAACAGACCGCUGUUCUGGUGACGUCAUGGAGGAGGCAAAGAAGCUCAUCGGCAAAGGCAACAGACAUCUCGUGAUGGGUGACAUUGUCGCUGCAGUCCGUGUCUUUCAGGAUGCAUGCGGCAUGUUAGCUGCCAGGUAUGGAGACACAGCAGAUGAAUGUGGUGAGGCCUUCUUCCUGUGUGGGAAGUCCCUACUUGAGCUUGCCAGGUUGGAGAGCACAGUCCUUGGAAAUGCCCUGGUAGGAGUCCCAGAAGAAUCUGAUGAUGAUGAUGAGGAGCAGCCCAGUAACUCAAAUAUUGAGAGUGCCAAUGACCUUGACGAUGAAGACGACGAUGAUGGGGAAGUGGACAAAAAUGGUGACAAGGAGGAGGAGGAGGAGGAUGACGACGUUGACAAUCUGCAAUUGGCUUGGGAAAUGCUGGAGGUGGCCAAGGUCAUCUUUAAGAGAAAGGAAAACAAAGAGCAGCAGCUCAUGGCAGCCCAGACCUUGUUGAAACUUGGAGAAGUUGGCGCAGAAGCAGGAAACUAUCCUCAGGCGCUGGAAGAUUUCCAGGAAUGUUUGGCCCUGCAGCUCAAGCACCUUCCUCCUCACAGUCGUCUGCUGGCCGAGACGUAUUACCAUGUCGCCGCCAUGCAUUGCUACAUGGACCAGUAUGGGCAGGCCGUUCAACACUACAACAGCUCCGUAAAAGUGAUUGAAACCCGCUUGGCCAUGUUGCAGAACUUGAUUGCUGCGGCGGAGAGCACCGAAGAGGCGACCACCGAGAUGGAAGAACUGAAGCAGCUUCUGCCAGACAUUAGAGAAAAAAUCGAAGAUGCUGAAGAAAUCCACAAAACAGACAGUGCUGCCAUCCAACAGACGCUUGGCGGCGCUUCAACCUCAUCAGCCUCCCGGAGUGAAAAUGGCAGCUCUUCAGCCUUUGCUGGCCCCACCAUCGCAGAGCCCAAUGAAAUCGACGGAUGGAGCAUCAUCUUCUACAGUGGCCUCAGACAUUUCUCACCUAGUUAGGAAAAAGAGGAAACCAGAGGAGAAGAGCCCAGUCAAGGACACUGAUGCUAAGCAGGCCAAACAGGAAGCUACACUUAAUGGCACUGGAGACUCUAGUGCCAACAAUGGAGUUGAGGAGCAAAAAUCACAGGAGCCCGCGGUCCAGUCUUCAGCGUGAGCGGCCCCCUGGAUCCUGUUUUUUCAAGACCAGCAUGCUUGCCCAACUCUUCUUCUUGUAAAUAAGAUCCAUUUUCAUAGCUUUGUCUGUCCAGUUUUGUAUACUUGCAGUAAACCAAUUUGCAAAUAAAUGAAUUGAAACAGA
Molecule: RNA transcript, 1528 nt
Organism: Syngnathus acus (greater pipefish)
Lineage: Eukaryota; Metazoa; Chordata; Actinopteri; Syngnathiformes; Syngnathidae
Gene name: histone-binding protein N1/N2-like
Exons: 14
Source: RefSeq, a predicted model, not a curated record